Molecule: ribosomal RNA, 529 nt
Filed under: Escherichia coli
Lineage: Bacteria; Pseudomonadati; Pseudomonadota; Gammaproteobacteria; Enterobacterales; Enterobacteriaceae
Also listed under: 1 other name
Description: partial 23S ribosomal RNA
Rfam family: Bacterial large subunit ribosomal RNA
Source: RNAcentral
CUAUGUGUUGUUGGGUAGGGGAGCGUUCUGUAAGCCUGUGAAGGUGUGCUGUGAGGCAUGCUGGAGGUAUCAGAAGUGCGAAUGCUGACAUAAGUAACGAUAAAGCGGGUGAAAAGCCCGCUCGCCGGAAGACCAAGGGUUCCUGUCCAACGUUAAUCGGGGCAGGGUGAGUCGACCCCUAAGGCGAGGCCGAAAGGCGUAGUCGAUGGGAAACAGGUUAAUAUUCCUGUACUUGGUGUUACUGCGAAGGGGGGACGGAGAAGGCUAUGUUGGCCGGGCGACGGUUGUCCCGGUUUAAGCGUGUAGGCUGGUUUUCCAGGCAAAUCCGGAAAAUCAAGGCUGAGGCGUGAUGACGAGGCACUACGGUGCUGAAGCAACAAAUGCCCUGCUUCCAGGAAAAGCCUCUAAGCAUCAGGUAACAUCAAAUCGUACCCCAAACCGACACAGGUGGUCAGGUAGAGAAUACCAAGGCGCUUGAGAGAACUCGGGUGAAGGAACUAGGCAAAAUGGUGCCGUAACUUCGGGAGAA